Molecule: ribosomal RNA, 251 nt
Filed under: uncultured Streptococcus sp.
Lineage: Bacteria; Bacillati; Bacillota; Bacilli; Lactobacillales; Streptococcaceae
Description: partial 16S ribosomal RNA
Rfam family: Bacterial small subunit ribosomal RNA
Source: RNAcentral
GAGUUGCGAACGGGUGAGUAACGCGUAGGUAACCUGCCUGGUAGCGGGGGAUAACUAUUGGAAACGAUAGCUAAUACCGCAUAAUAGUAGUUGUUGCAUGACAACUGUUUGAAAGGUGCAAUUGCAUCACUAAGAGAUGGACCUGCGUUGUAUUAGCUAGUUGGUGAGGUAACGGCUCACCAAGGCGACGAUACAUAGCCGACCUGAGAGGGUGAUCGGCCACACUGGGACUGAGACACGGCCCAGACUCC